GAUCAGCAUGAGUAGCUUCUCUAUAUCUUUUUAACGCCUGCUACAUGCGCCGAUCUGCGCCCAUUAGUGAAUCACCCCCAGGGGGUAUGCAAUAACAGUUAUGAUUGGUACUCCUGCGGGCGCCUUGCCCGGGGCUGUUUUUUUCCCUGGGCACAUAUCCGGCGAGGCAACAAUUUGUUAACAUUCACAUUAAGUUUGGGAGUUGUAAACUCUCUAAUGAUCCGUCCCCAUGAACAACUACGGAAAAUGCGAUAAGUAAUGUGAAUUGCAAAAUUCAGUGAAUCAUCGAAUCUUUGAACGCACAUUGCGCCCGCCAGUAUUCUGGCGGGCAUGCCUGUCCGAGCGUCAUUUCAACCCUCGAACCCCUCCGGGGGGGUCGGCGUUGGGGAUCGGCCCUGCCUUGGCGGUGGCCGUCUCCGAAAUAAGUGGGCGGUCUCGCCGCAACCUCUCCUGCGCAGUAAUUUGCACACUCGCAUCGGGAACGCGGCCCGUCAAAGCCGUUAAAAACACAACUUCUGAAAGGUUGAACUCGGAUCAGGUAGGAAUACCCCGCUGAAUUAAGCAUACCAUAAAAAGGAGAAAAA
This 584-nucleotide ribosomal RNA is filed under the name Trichoderma viride. RNAcentral describes it as "eukaryotic LSU rRNA". The stretch from base 208 to 348 matches the Rfam family "5.8S ribosomal RNA". The record is from RNAcentral. Lineage: Eukaryota; Fungi; Ascomycota; Sordariomycetes; Hypocreales; Hypocreaceae.